AAUCCGUCGACUUUAGAAAUCGUGAGGAU
Molecule: transfer RNA, 29 nt
Filed under: Impatiens goughii
Lineage: Eukaryota; Viridiplantae; Streptophyta; Magnoliopsida; Ericales; Balsaminaceae
Description: partial tRNA-Leu
Source: RNAcentral